This 74-nucleotide transfer RNA is filed under the name Candidatus Moranbacteria bacterium RIFCSPHIGHO2_02_FULL_40_12b. Its description in RNAcentral is "tRNA-Pro". It matches the Rfam family "tRNA". From Rfam's summary of the family: Transfer RNA (tRNA) molecules are approximately 80 nucleotides in length. Their secondary structure includes four short double-helical elements and three loops (D, anti-codon, and T loops). RNAcentral also lists the same sequence under 1 other name. The record is from RNAcentral. Lineage: Bacteria; Candidatus Moraniibacteriota.
CGGGGUAUAGUAUAUCGGUAGUACGCGCCCUUCGGGUGGGUGAAGGCUGAGUUCAAUUCUCAGUACCCCGACCA